GCGUGUGCCAGGCGUGUGCUAGUGCUUCGUCUGCCCACACCACUCUGUGAGGUGGGCGUGGCCGUUUCCCUCACUUCAGAGAGGUCAAGAAAUUUGCCCAGAGCCACACAGCUAAUAAAUGCCAGAAGCAAGAUUUGAACCUAAGGCCAGUUGGCUCCAGAGUUCUCCCUCUAUCCAUCAGAUUCUACCCUACUCCCUCCAAGGAGCCCUCCCCGGUAGCCCCAGGUCAGGGCUCUUUCUGUCAGCAGAACAGCCGAUAGAAGUUAGCUGUCUACACCCUGGGUACAUCUCAUCUCUUAUCUCGUUACUCAGGUACCACCAGGAGCCCUGGCAUCAUCAGAAUCUUAUUAGAAAUGUAGAAUCUCAGGCCCCUCCCCAGACCUGCAGAGUGAAAUCUGUUUUUUAAAAGAUCCCUGGUGAAUUGGACACGCAAUAAAGUUUGAGGACGCUAACAUCUGGUUAAAAGUCUGCUAUUGCCACUGUGUGGGAACCUGUCUUUGGGAAGCUGCACCUCCUUCAUCGGAUUGGCAAGAGCUGAGCCUUCUCCAUCAGACCAGCUAUGCUUCCAGAGCAGAGGCUGUGCUUCUGGGAUCUUCCCGAGGACAGGGAUUGAUCCUCCCCAAUCAAACUGGGAAUCUGGCAGAAGCAGAGGUGGUUCUUGGUCGCAGGCCGGAAGCUCGCCUGAAGCUUGUGGUGCCACCCCCGUCUGACUGGCAGUCCCCAGGAUCCCCUGUGAAACUUGGCUGGCUUUGGGGUCGAGAGCCACCUGCAAGGAGAGGUAUCUGUUCGCGUUUUCCAAGAGGAUGGAGAAGCCAGAGCGGAGACUCUAAAUCCCUGUGUCACGAUGGUGGGUGUCAUGACCAUCUCCUACAGCCUGACUCCCCUUUCUUUGUUAAUAAAACUCCAGUCUUCGUGGGAGACUAUCUUUCUGAAGAGGUCAGUCUUGACCAGACUAAGCCAAUCACAAUAAUGCCUUUCUCCUGGCAGAGAUGGGCCUGUGUUGCGAUUCUGGCCAGUGAAGCAUGAGAAAAAAUCAGGGAAGGGGCCCUCCUUGGCUUAAAAUGAGGCUCAAGGUAAGGAUUAUGAAACUGAAUAAAGGAAACCUCAUUUAAAGUGGAAUUUGGAGG
RNAcentral lists this long non-coding RNA (1127 nucleotides) under Felis catus (domestic cat). RNAcentral's name for it is "lncRNA (ENSFCAG00000052437.1)". The record is from RNAcentral. Lineage: Eukaryota; Metazoa; Chordata; Mammalia; Carnivora; Felidae.